This 106-nucleotide ribosomal RNA is filed under the name uncultured bacterium. RNAcentral's name for it is "partial 16S ribosomal RNA". It matches the Rfam family "Bacterial small subunit ribosomal RNA", at positions 356 to 460 of the family's 1533-position model. The record is from RNAcentral.
GAGGAAUAUUGGUCAAUGGGCGCAAGCCUGAACCAGCCAUGCCGCGUGAAGGAUGACAGCGCUACGCGUUGUAAACUUCUUUUGUACAGGAAGAAACGCUUCUACG